UUGGUUAAGUUAGAAAGGGCGCACGGUGGAUGCCUUGGCACUAGGAGCCGAAGAAGGACGGGACUAACACCGAUAUGCUUUGGGGAGCUGUACGUAAGCGUUGAUCCAGAGAUUUCCGAAUGGGGGAACCCACUAUCUUUAGUCGGAUAGUAUCCUUACGUGAAUACAUAGCGUGAGGAAGGCAGACCCAGGGAACUGAAACAUCUAAGUACCUGGAGGAAGAGAAAGAAAAAUCGAUUUCCUGAGUAGCGGCGAGCGAAACGGAAAGAGCCCAAACCAAGAAGCUUGCUUCUUGGGGUUGUAGGACACUCUAUACGGAGUUACAAAAGAAAGUUAUAAAUGAAGCGGUCUGGAAAGGCCCGCCAAAGACGGUAACAGCCCGGUAGUUGAAAUAGCUUUCCCUCCAGAGUGGAUCCUGAGUACGGCGGAACACGUGAAAUUCCGUCGGAAUCCGGGAGGACCAUCUCCCAAGGCUAAAUACUCCCUAGUGACCGAUAGUGAACCAGUACCGUGAGGGAAAGGUGAAAAGCACCCCGGAAGGGGAGUGAAACAGUUCCUGAAACCGUGUGCCUACAAGUAGUUAGAGCCCGUUAAUGGGUGAUAGCGUGCCUUUUGUAGAAUGAACCGGCGAGUUACGAUUUGUUGCAAGGUUAAGCGGAAAAAGCGGAGCCGUAGCGAAAGCGAGUCUGAAUAGGGCGCAUAAGUAACAGGUCGUAGACCCGAAACCAGGUGAUCUACCCAUGUCCAGGAUGAAGGUAAGGUAAUACUUACUGGAGGUCCGAACCCACGCACGUUGAAAAGUGCGGGGAUGAGGUGUGGGUAGCGGAGAAAUUCCAAUCGAACUUGGAGAUAGCUGGUUCUCUCCGAAAUAGCUUUAGGGCUAGCCUCGAGGUAAAGAGUCAUGGAGGUAGAGCACUGUUUGGACUAGGGGCCCUUCUCGGGUUACCGAAUUCAGAUAAACUCCGAAUGCCAUGUACUUAUACUCGGGAGUCAGACUGCGAGUGAUAAGAUCCGUAGUCGAAAGGGAAACAGCCCAGACCACCAGUUAAGGUCCCCAAAUAUAUGUUAAGUGGAAAAGGAUGUGGGGUUGCUUAGACAACCAGGAUGUUGGCUUAGAAGCAGCCACCAUUGAAAGAGUGCGUAAUAGCUCACUGGUCGAGUGACCCCGCGCCGAAAAUGUACCGGGGCUAAACAUAUUACCGAAACUGUGGAUGAACC
This 1218-nucleotide ribosomal RNA is filed under the name Listeria monocytogenes. Its description in RNAcentral is "bacterial LSU rRNA". It matches the Rfam family "Bacterial large subunit ribosomal RNA", at positions 1 to 1212 of the family's 2925-position model. Lineage: Bacteria; Bacillati; Bacillota; Bacilli; Caryophanales; Listeriaceae. The record is from RNAcentral.